GGCUGGUGGGACAAUCUGGCUGUGCCAUCUGCCAACCCACUGAGAGCCAGAGUGGGUUUGGCCGAUCUGGCUGUCAGGGCAGACCCUCUCCUUCCCACUCUGCUCGCCAUUCCUGUUCUGUCUCUCCUAAACCACUCUCCUUCAAGAGGAUGACCCACCCGUAGCAACACAGAGGGAGUUGAUUCUAGUUCUUGGAUGACCAGAGGCCAUGUGUUUACUACACGAAUAAAUAAUGUGAGGCUUUCUCUUGAUUUCUCUUCCUGUUAUUUCUACCUCCUUUAAGUUAGAAUUAAAGAUUUUGUGAAAAAGUUUGUUUAAUU
This 320-nucleotide small RNA is filed under the name Pteropus vampyrus (large flying fox). RNAcentral describes it as "7SK RNA (ENSPVAG00000030100.1)". It matches the Rfam family "7SK RNA". Rfam says of the family: 7SK was discovered as an abundant small nuclear RNA in the mid-70s but a possible function has only recently been suggested. The record is from RNAcentral. Lineage: Eukaryota; Metazoa; Chordata; Mammalia; Chiroptera; Pteropodidae.